This 46-nucleotide non-coding RNA is filed under the name Trichobilharzia regenti. Lineage: Eukaryota; Metazoa; Platyhelminthes; Trematoda; Strigeidida; Schistosomatidae. The record is from RNAcentral.
GUACUGCUGAACAGUCGCAGACAAGAACGAAACAGUUGUCCAGUAC